Molecule: non-coding RNA, 1547 nt
Organism: Heterocephalus glaber (naked mole-rat)
Lineage: Eukaryota; Metazoa; Chordata; Mammalia; Rodentia; Bathyergidae
Source: RefSeq, a predicted model, not a curated record
CACAAAGGUAUUUUCCUGUGAUCAGAAGAAAGCUCACCGGAUUGGCAUAAUCGGACCUUCUGGAGGGUGCAUCUCAUAAGAGAAAAUGUUUAGGCCUUCUAGAAGAGACCUCGGGGAACUGAUUUAAAGCAACCCAAAUUGUCAGCCCCUCUUCUGGGCGACCUAGACCAGGGGUCCCUACAAGUUUCCUCUGUGUUUCCAGCCCUCCCAUCACCCACAUCACCGCCUGAGCGCCACCUCCUGGCAGAUCUGCUGGGCAUUCGAUUCCGUAGGAGCGCAGACCCUGCUGUAAACUGUGCAUGCAGGGGAUCCAGGUUGCCCCCUCCUCUGAAUCAUCUCAAAACCGUCCCCUCCUCCCCAGUCCCUGGAAAGAUGGUCUCUCAAGAAACUGGUCCCUUCCCUCUGCCAUUUAAACGUGCAAUUAUGAAGAAGCAUGAUUUUGACGUGGGCACACCCAGGACCCUGCCACAUUCAAAUGCAGGACAAGUCUCUCGGGUAUGAACACGUGCGUCUCCCCUUCCUGCUCCAGUUUGGGGAGACGCUGCUUUGGAAAUCACCCCUGGUGCUCUCCUGGCUCGCUGCAAGGAAUGAACCUUUCUCUGCUCUUUUAUCUCCAGGCUGAACUUUUGGUCAUUUGCCUUUUCCUGCAGACCCAAAGCACAAGUCAUUACAGCUCCGUGCCUCAGCUCGGGCACCCUGUGGGCAGCGUCCAAGCCACACCGCCAGACUGUCAGGCGGCAGUGGACACAAAGGAUGAGAAAGGAUUGGGGCGACAAUGAUCGGGAGGACCAGGGAAUUGCUCCUGCCUUCUCUGAGGUUUUACUUUCUGUGGUUUCCAUUACCUGUGGUCAGCUGCGGUUUGAAAAUAUUAAAGGGAAAAUUACAAAAAUAAACAAUGCAUGUUUUAAAUCAGGCAACGUUCUGAGUGGUGUGGUAAAAUCUCACACAGUCCCACUCUGCCACACCCAGCAAGUGAUUCACCCCCUGUCCUGUGUAUCCAUGCUGUAAUGCCACAGGUCAGCUGUCCUGGUGUCUCACAUAGUGCUUGGGUUCAAGGAACCCUUAUUUUACUUCAUAAUGGCCGAGGGCACUAAGCCACAGCAUAAAACCCAGGGCAGAUGACCCUGGUGCCGUUUGUCAGUACCCAGGGCACGCAGGAAAGCACACAGCACUGUGCAGAUGAGAUUAGCACUUUCUGCAGUUUCAGGAAACCACCAGGGGCUCGGAACGCAUCUCCAGCUGACCAAGGAGGACAACUGCAUAGGCUGGAGCACACUUCUGUUUGAGUAGAAGCAAGAAGGCCAGGGGGACAGGAAGUGACCAAGUUUAAGAGAGAGCAGGGAACUAAUCCUGGGAGGCUAUACUAGAAACACAGAGUCACUUCUCAAUAAUGCAAAUGCCGUCGGCUCAGCAAGAUGACAACGUCAAAUAUGAAUGCACCUGCUAGCAAUGUAUGAAAACUCACAUGGAGAUCCAGUGGGGACAGUUUAUUUCAUAUAACUUGAUUCCGCUUAGGGUGGAUAAAAAUUAAAUUAAAAAGAAUAAAA